This 3102-nucleotide long non-coding RNA is filed under the name Brassica rapa (field mustard). Its description in RNAcentral is "long non-coding RNA (BRAP_LNC003872)". The record is from RNAcentral. Lineage: Eukaryota; Viridiplantae; Streptophyta; Magnoliopsida; Brassicales; Brassicaceae.
CGAGGGGAAAGGCACAACACGUGGGAUGAUAUCAUCCGUUGUUUUGAUGGGUUUGGACCUUGCCUCCAUUGACAUGGUAUAAUCCCUUCUCACAUCACCAACGAGUGGCGUGUAAGGACUACCGGAAAGGCCUUGUCUUCUCAGGUAACUUUCAAGCAUCUUUGGUUUAAACCAAACCCAGUUUAGAGUUCUCCAUACCCACCACAGCACAGCAACUAUAGCUACUGAAACUGUAACGGACGCAGCUGAUGUUUCCAUUUUUAUUUCCUAGGAAAGAGAAUGAGAGAUAUGGAUAAUCUGCUGAUAUUCUUGGGAUCUAAAUAUAUAUGGAUGUGGUGAUGACAUCACCACUUAUGUCAUAGACAAGAUAUUAUUUUGCGUCUCCGAUAAUGAUUCUGUUGUGACCGUUUAUCUUUUGCAUUAUUUGGAGCCUCAGAGUCAUAUGCCACGAGGGCGAGGCAACAAUUAAGAAGCAAAUUUAGACUUGCGUAGUUGAAAAGAGGCAUGACUUGACGUCGACCUUUUCACAUUUCUUUGUCACUCCAUCAAAAGGAAGAAACAUUAGUCCACUAAAGUCUAAAAGUGAUUGCCAUUGUCUAUGCAAUGACGUAUUUUUUUCUCUUAAAAACCUAUGGACUAUUAUUAAUUUAUAUUAUAUGAAACGUUAAGGACUUUGUCCACUAAUUGGUUUUUCUAAUGUCACAUAUCCUGCUAGAUACUGUGAGUUUGGGGCAUGUUUUUAAGGUUACAGGCAUGAGACGUGGGAUAAUAUGAUCCGUUAAGCUGAUGGGUUUGGUUCUUGCCUUCUUUAAAACUAUGAAACUCCUCAAAUCUCCAAAAAGAGACGUGUAAGGAGUUCCUGGUAGAUUAUGUUCUUUCAAGUAACACUCCAACAUCUUAGGUUUUAGCCAUUACCACUUCAGAGUUGUCCACGUCACGAGAAAAAUAGUUAUUAAAUGUAAAACAGAGAUCUCUACUAUGUAUGUAACUAUGUAAGAGGCAUAGAGAAGCAGACGCAUAUAAUUUUCAAAACGUCAUUGGUCUUUUAAAUAAUAAUAACUGGAGGUGGUAAUGUCUUAGAUGGCUUUAAUAUGUACAUCUGUCUUAAAUACAUAAAACAAGAUUUUAUUCGAGUAUUGUAUUAUGAUCUGGACUCAGUUUCAUCUGUGUAUUACAAGUUUCUUUUUUAUAGGAUUAGGACUAGAGCUUGUGCAGGAUAAGAUGAGCACCAAACUGUGGGUGAAUUGUGAUGACUGUGUAAGGAGCAUGAACGUAAGAAGGAGAUAACUCGAAGGAAAAUCUCUGCAGAAUCAAUGCCAUUGCCAUCUUUGCCUCCAAUAAGGCAAAGUUCUGUCCAAUGCAGAUCCUCGGUCCCCAUGCAAAGGGAAAGAAGGAGACUUGGCUCUUCGUUGCCUUUGAGAGACCUUCUUUGAACCUUUCAGGCUUGAACUCCGCAGCAUCGUUCCCCCACAGCUCGGUGUCAUGUUGAACUAGCAGGAUAGGUAGACUGAUCUGAACGCCGCCUGGUAAUGUCAGGUCUCCUAGCUUCAUCUCUUUGUGAAUGGCUCGUGACACCUGUGUCACUGGAGGAUAUAGCCUAAGAACCUCAUACAAGAUCAUCGUCAUCUACAAGGGAUCAUCAAAUCAUUCAGCCAAAAAAAAACAAAGAGUACUUGAGUCACACGAAAGGUUUAUACUUACAACUUUGAGCUGGUUAAGACCAUCUAUAUCAGGUACUUUAUCGCCAAAGACUUGUUUCACUUCUUCUCUUGCCUUAGCUUGCCAAUCUUGGUGUUGGCUUAGCAGAACCAUUGUCCAAACCAGAAGUACUGAAGUUGUCUCUUGCCCGGCGAAAUAGAACAGCUUGCAUUCCUCUAUCACAUCCUCAUUGCUCAUCCCAUUUCCUUUAACUUGUCCCAAAUUAGAUUCAAGAAGUAUACCAAGCAAGUCAUCGCUUGGUGCUUCACCAGCCUCUCUAGCCCUUAACCUCUUGUUAACUAUCCCUCUCAGUAUAGCUUGGACUUCUCUGGCUUUUGCCUUCAUCAUUCUAUUUUCCUUCGUUGGAAGAUACCUGAGAGAUUAUGACAACAUAGAUCAAGAGUCAAGUUCUAAAGUCCUUGUAAUAACAUAUUAAUUACCUAUAUCCAGGAAUGAUGUGCUUUCUAAAAGCUUGUAUGAUGAGCUGAGCUAGUUCAGCUUGGAGCUCAAAUAUCCUCUGCCCUUCUUUAUAGCUGCUACCAAAAGCAGUACGAGAGAUCACAUCAGCAGUCAUACUCACAAGCCCUGGCCAAACAUCCACUUCACAGGACAGCCCUUUGUCCGAGACCAACUUGUCCCAUUCGCCAACAACCUCGCUGCAGCUCUGGUGGAAAGCAGGUACCAUGUUCUAUACAUAUAAGCACAAGUGUCACAAAAUUGUGUCAGCCUAAUUGUUAGGAGAUCUCGGAGAUUACAAAAUCGCCUAGAAUAUUUUUCCAUGUAACUAUUAGAAAAUAUAACUUAUGAUACCUAACACAAAUGAUACACAAACCAAUCAAAACUCUUCAUGGAGCUAAUACUAAUACCUUGAUCUUCUCAAGGUGGAAAGCCGGGUUAAUGAUUCUUCGGUGUUUCGCCCAUUUAUCACCAUCGUAGCUAGCAAGUCCAGUGCCUAUCAACCUGGCCAAAGGGAAGGUAUGUGUCUUCGGGAAAUCAUAAACUUUGUUGAACACUUCCUUGAUUUGCUCAGGGUCCACUAUGGUGAUGGUUGGUAUAGGUCCAAGCCAUGUAAAGUAAGUUCUUCCUGUUCCAUGCCAACCACAUAAAGAUUGAAAACGUUUUCUAGACAAAGAGGAAUCAAGAAGUAUGAGAUAACCAGGAAACAUAUAUAUAUAUAUAUACCAUGAGUUUUGAGCAUUUUCAAGGGAUAAGGCACGAGACGUGGUGUGAUAUCAUCCGUCAGUUUGAUGGGUUUGGAUCUUGCAUUUUUCAGCAAGCUAAAGUUCCUCUUCAAGUCGCCGACGAGAGGAGUGUAAGGACUACCGGAAAGACCUUGUCUUCUCAGGUAACUCUCAAGCAUCUUUGGUUUAAACCAAACCCAGUUUAGAGUUCUCCAUACCCACC